ACCCAUCUGACGAGUCCAAAACAGAACGAAACAUGCGUCAAACUGGAU
Schistosoma mattheei is the source of this 48-nucleotide non-coding RNA. NCBI's taxonomy places the organism in Eukaryota, Metazoa, Platyhelminthes, Trematoda, Strigeidida, Schistosomatidae. The record is from Rfam.